AAUCCGUGUUUUCUAACUCUUUCGAGGCAGCGGCCUUAUAGACCUACCAUUUGUAGUUUCCUUAUCCUCUCCUCUUGAGUCCUAUGGUGGAGAGUGGAGAGUGGAAACCAGGUUAAUGUUUCUCGUGCAACUUCUUGAAACCUACUAUCUUAUGGGGCUCAAAAAUAUUAAUUUAACACAGAGAACCGCUUUCGAGGAUACAAAUAGGGGGAAUUGAGUAAAUCUCUGUACAGGCCAGAAUGAAAGGAGUUAAUCAGAGGGUCGCGAGGACGGUGAGUGCAUUUCUGGCUUGCAUAAUAGUGGUGGGAGUUGUGUGUACUUUGCUAUUGAUGAACAACUUCAGGCUUCCUUCACUCCGAUUCUCUACAAUGCAAACGCUGUUCCAUUCAGAGAUGGACGAUUAUGCAACAGAUCCAGAUAUUAUGUUACCGACGAGCUAAAAGUAAGCCUUUCAAAAGCGGCGAACCAGGAGAAAACCGUUCUAAUCACGACUCUGAAUGCGGCGUGGGCGCAGAAGAAUAGCAUGGUGGAUUUAUUCCUGAAAAGUUUCCACAUCGGUAACGGAACCGAGGCGAUGUUGUAAAAUUUGUUGAUUGUUGCCGUAGAUGAGAAGGCGCUCAAUCGCUGCCGGGAAAUUCAUCCGCAUUGUUGUCUGAUGAAAACAGAGGGAGUCGAUUUCUCGGGAGAAAAGCUUUACAUGACUCGAGGUUAUUUGAAAAUGAUGUGGAGAAGGAUUCGUUUCUUCGGACAAGUGUUGGAGCGAAGAUAUAACUUCGUUUUCUCGGAUGCCGAUAUUAUGUGGUUUCGAGAUCCCUCUACUAAAUUCUCAUCCGAGGCAGAUUGUUAGAGAAGGAAAGCAACUAAUCUCUACAAUAAGCCCAACGCAGGAUUCAUGUAUGUUCGCUCAAAUGAAAAGACAGUUCAUUUAUUCAACUUUUGGUAUCGAUCCAAGAAGGUUUAUCCCCGUAAAAAUGAGCAACAUGUGUUGAACAUACUGAAAUGGAAAGAGUUCAGACGCAGGCGACUUAAAUUCGAAUUCCUUGACACUAAAUAUUUUGGCGGGUACUGUGAAAGAACGAAAGAUGUGAACUCGGUUUGUACAAUGCAUGCCAACUGUUGUACUUGGAUUGAAGGCGAAGGUUAUUGAUUUGAGAAAUAUAUUCUAAACUUUCAGUUGUGAAAAAUCCUUCUCAGAAUAUAUACUAAACUUUGAGUUGUGAAAAAUCCUUGAAUUUUCAAACUCUCUCUCACUGGGGAUCUGAUCUCCCAUAGGCCUAUAAUUUAUUAUUUUAAUAUGUCAACUAUCAACUUCGAAUCUCCUUCCAUCACAACCCUGGUAAAGCACAAAUCUUUAGCAAGCUUUAUGCCCUCCCAGGAAGCAAUGGCUUCAACAAAGUUGUUAGAUUUUAUUUCUAAGAACUUAGCAGUGCAUUGAAUAAGUCUCCCUUUAUGACCUUUGAGAACAACACCCGCACUAGCUUGUCUAGGGUUACCCUUGGAACACCUAUCAAAAUUACAUUUUAUCCAAUCUUGAUCAUUCUGUUUAUCUUCUUCUACCAGUUAAUAUUAGUCAUAUCUUGAAUAAGACCCCAAAUUUGUUUAAUCCUUAUUUCUUGUAGAGUAGCCAUGUCUUUAAAGGGCCCAAAGGAAACAACAAUGAGAUUUUCAAUUAUUUGAUGCUUAAUAAUCUGGUGUUAGCUAUUUAUGGUUAUAAUUGUUGUAUCUCUUCGAGUUUUUGUAUUGUAGUAUUCAUGGCAUAUGUGGAGUUUGUAUCUUUGGAGUUUGGAGGUAUUAUGAUUAAGUUUUGUGAUAAUGGGUUGGUAUCUUUGGGUUUGGUUGACCCUGCCUCAUUUCGGUAAUCUUGCUAUAUGCAUUAGCUAAUGAAGUAUGGAAAAGGAAGCAUGUGGAGAUCUUGCGGAGGCCAACAUGUAGGUCUUGUUUAUGUUAGAUAUCAUGUUGGGUUUGGUUGACACAUUAUUUCAUGUUCAUAUACUUUGGUGUGUGUGUGUGUGUGUGUGUGUGUAGUUGCAUGUAUAAUGAGUCAAUGAAAACAAGGAGAAAGAGAAUAAGAGAGUGAGGAUGAUUAAGGAAGUAUAUGCAAAAGAGACAAAGCAAAGGAGAUAGAAGAGAAGCAGAGUGUGAAGUGUGAGUUGUAGACAAUGAAGGAAGAUAGUGUUGCAAUAAUGCAACAAUCCUUCACCAAACCUUAUGCAGGAUAGUGGUAUAGAGAUCUUUAAUCGGAUCUUCUAUAGAGUUUGUUAAUUAUGAUUUGAUCUUAAUCUUGGAACUGACCUCAUGCAUUUGGAGAUGCAAUCAUUUUCAGUUCAAUCUUUUUUGUUGUUGUAAGCAUUCUAAUAGUGUGUGGUUUUUUGUAUCUUUGUAGUGAGCAUUCCAACAUUGUGUCCUCUUUUGUAUC
This is a long non-coding RNA of Cryptomeria japonica (Japanese cedar), 2416 nucleotides long. RefSeq lists it as uncharacterized. NCBI's taxonomy places the organism in Eukaryota, Viridiplantae, Streptophyta, Pinopsida, Cupressales, Cupressaceae. The record is from RefSeq and is a predicted model, not a curated record. The transcript has 3 exons.